GGACCAUUGCUCAGUGGAAAAGCCUUUGCUUUUUAUGCAGGGUUUCAGGUUCAAUCCCUGGCAUCUCCA
RNAcentral lists this transfer RNA (69 nucleotides) under Sphaerodactylus townsendi. Its description in RNAcentral is "tRNA-Lys". Lineage: Eukaryota; Metazoa; Chordata; Lepidosauria; Squamata; Sphaerodactylidae. The record is from RNAcentral.